CCCUUAGAUGUUCUGGGCCGCACGCGCGCUACACUGUUCGACGCAGCGAGUCUUAACCUUGACCGAAAGGUUUGGGUAAUCUUCAGCAAAGUCGAACGUGAUGGGGAUCGAUCAUUGCAAUUAUUGAUCGUGAACGAGGAAUUCCUAGUAAGUGCAAGUCAUCAGCUUGCGCUGAUUACGUCCCUGCCCUUUGUACACACCGCCCGUCGCUCCUACCGAUUGAGUGGUCCGGUGAAUAAUUCGGACUGAGGAUUUAGGCAGUUUCUGUCUUUAUCUUCGGGAAGUCUAGUGAACCUUAUCACUUAGAGGAAGUAAAAGUCGUAACA
RNAcentral lists this ribosomal RNA (326 nucleotides) under uncultured eukaryote. Its description in RNAcentral is "partial 18S ribosomal RNA". It matches the Rfam family "Eukaryotic small subunit ribosomal RNA", at positions 1470 to 1796 of the family's 1831-position model. The record is from RNAcentral.